GAGUGAAAUCAGAUUUACGAAAUGAGUUAUUUCAAUUAACUGAAAUAGGUCUUUUGAAUUCAAUGAAACCAAUUUUAUGAAAUAGAUUGUUCCAAUGUGUGAAAUUGAUUAUGUUCGUGAAGCUGCUUACUCCUGAUUGUGAAACUGAUAUUUAGGGAAUAUAAUUGCAAGUGAAAUAUCAAACUAUAAAAUUUAAAUAUGCAUGCAUUAUUUUAAAGCGGUGAAAUCUGUAAUAUAAAAUGAGUGAAUCAGUUUUCGAAAUGAAUGGAAUCAUGUUUCUGAAACGGAUGAAAUAUGUUUUUUUAAUGUGUGAAAUCUGUCUUUUCAAAUGAGUGAAUUCAUAUUUUUUAAAUAAGUGAAUUUUUAUUUUGAAUCAACUAAAAAAGAUGAGUGAAAUAUGCUUUUCAAUAUGAGUGAAAUAUGUUUUUCAAUUUGAGUGAAAUAUGUUUUUAAAAAUCAGCUAAAUUAAAGCUAAUUCGAAUGUAUCCAUAAUUGAUCUUGUUCUGAAGCUCUUCUUGCUAGGAAUUCAAAUAUAUAUAAAAAUUCAAAAUAGGAGUUCUCAUUAAAAAGAUAUCCAUGAUCCAAAAUUUCACAAUGAAAUUAAAUGGAAGUAUUUUGAUGGAGAGAGAGGGAAUAUUUAACUUGCAUGCAACUGGUCUUGUCGUACAUUUUUUCUCUCUCCUGACAAAAGCUGACAAGUGCAUGCAAAUGUUCACAUGUAUUCCUGUGUAUUC
Molecule: ribosomal RNA, 734 nt
Filed under: Triticum aestivum (bread wheat)
Lineage: Eukaryota; Viridiplantae; Streptophyta; Magnoliopsida; Poales; Poaceae
Description: partial small subunit ribosomal RNA
Source: RNAcentral